UGGGAUGACGUCAAAUCAUCAUGCCCCUUAUGUUCUGGGCUACACACGUGCUACAAUGGCCGGUACAGACGGACGCAAAGCCGCGAGGUGGAGCAAAUCCUAAAAAGCCGGUCUCAGUUCGGAUUGCAGGCUGCAAUUCGCCUGCAUGAAGUCGGAAUCGCUAGUAAUCGCAGGUCAGCAUACUGCGGUGAAUACGUUCUCGGGCCUU
RNAcentral lists this ribosomal RNA (208 nucleotides) under uncultured Bacillus sp. RNAcentral's name for it is "partial 16S ribosomal RNA". It matches the Rfam family "Bacterial small subunit ribosomal RNA", at positions 1175 to 1382 of the family's 1533-position model. The record is from RNAcentral. Lineage: Bacteria; Bacillati; Bacillota; Bacilli; Caryophanales; Bacillaceae.